GACGAACGCUGGCGGCGUGCUUAACACAUGCAAGUCGAGCGGAAAGGCCACUUCGGUGGUACUCGAGCGGCGAACGGGUGAGUAACACGUGAGUAAUCUGCCCCUGGCUUCGGGAUAGCCACCGGAAACGGUGAUUAAUACCGAAUAUGACAUGGACUCGCAUGGGUUUGUGUGGAAAGUUUUUCGGCCAGGGAUGUGCUCGCGGCCUAUCAGCUUGAUGGUGAGGUAAUGGCUCACCAUGGCUUCGACGGGUAGCCGGCCUGAGAGGGUGACCGGCCACACUGGGACUGAGACACGGCCCAGACUCCUACGGGAGGCAGCAGUGGGGAAUAUUGCACAAUGGGCGCAAGCCUGAUGCAGCGACGCCGCGUGAGGGAUGACGGCCUUCGGGUUGUAAACCUCUUUCAGUAGGGACGAAGCUUUCGGGUGACGGUACCUACAGAAGAAGCACCGGCCAACUACGUGCCAGCAGCCGCCGUAAUAC
This 484-nucleotide ribosomal RNA is filed under the name uncultured bacterium. RNAcentral describes it as "bacterial SSU rRNA". It matches the Rfam family "Bacterial small subunit ribosomal RNA", at positions 28 to 526 of the family's 1533-position model. The record is from RNAcentral.